Molecule: long non-coding RNA, 1151 nt
Organism: Humulus lupulus (European hop)
Lineage: Eukaryota; Viridiplantae; Streptophyta; Magnoliopsida; Rosales; Cannabaceae
Exons: 3
Source: RefSeq, a predicted model, not a curated record
CAAAGCUUUGUUGCUUUGUGGAGAAAUAGAAGCUUUAUGAAGCUAAUAAACUUGUGCAUUUUCUCUCUUUGGUCCCGUUCAAAGGAAACAUCACCCAUGUAUCUUUCAAGUAUAUUUGAGUGGAUAACUAGAAACUAUCAACUUAAGCUAUGUAUAAAUAUGAAGACAACCAUGUAUCAAUACCUUAAGUGAAACACGUCGUGCAAUCACCUGUCUCAAUGCUGAUAAGAUUCCAGCACAUAUUGGAACAGUCAUUGCUGCCACUACACCAAAUACCUCUUUUUAUAAUACAUAAUUAUAAGCUAAUUGGAAAAGUAUUAUAAUAGGUAUAAAGUUAAAAUGGAGGGAAACAAAAAAAAAAUUUGGCUGGGUAAAGUUAAAAUGGAGGGAAAAAAAAAGCUCAAUUAAUGUAAAAGCAUUUUUUCACCCAAUAAAAUAAAAAAUUUAGAAAAAUAAUAUUAACCCUCGUCCAUGUUUCUCUGAACCCUCACCUCUCUCUGAACCCUCCAUCAUUUCUCUCAACUUUCCCUUUCUCAAUCGAUUAUCUUCAACAAAUUUCCCUCUCUCACUCGAUUGCAGUCAUCCAUCAACAGCUCCAAGGACUUGACCAAAAGAGAGAUCUUUCUUCUUGGUGAAGAACUCUCCAACUACGUUGUGGGAAAAUAAUUGAGGGGUUGUGUUGAGAGAGACAUGAAGAGAAUGGUGGGCAUUCAGUGUUAUAAAGGGAUUAGACAUAGGGAAGGAUUGCCAAGCAGAGGACAACGAACAAGGACGAAUGCUCGAACCAAGAAAAGUCAUCUGCCUAUUCCUCUUGCAUUGAGGAAGAAAUAGUUUCUGCUGUCAUUUUCACUACCAAAUUAGUCUAGAUUUCUCAACUUUACAAAUUCUUACAAACUGUUUGGUGAUUUGAGUUGAAAGAAGAAUGAAACGAUGGCAUGGAAGACAAACUGCAACGAGUUAAAGAAGAAAACAGGAAUCUCUCUGAACUCAACCUUUCAAGCAACAUAUCACAGAAGAAUCUUGAUGCACUUUGGUGAUGGAAAGUCCACUCCUUGUCUUGAUGUGCUCCCAAGACAGGAGAAGGGUUGCUCUGAUCUCAACACCUCCACCUUCAUCCAUCGCAUGAUCCUUGCCGAGAAACCCAAUCUCAU